AUUGAACGCUGGCGGCAGGCCUAACACAUGCAAGUCGAACGGUAACAGGAAGAAGCUUGCCUCUUUGCUGACGAGUGGCGGACGGGUGAGUAAUGUCUGGGAAACUGCCUGAUGGAGGGGGAUAACUACUGGGAACGGUAGCUAAUACCGCAUAACGUCGCAAGACCAAAAAGGGGGACCUUCGGGCCUCUUGCCAUCGGAUGUGCCCAGAUGGGAUUAGCUAGUAGGUGGGGUAACGGCUCACCUAGGCGACGAUCCCUAGCUGGUCUGAGAGGAUGACCAGCCACACUGGAACUGAGACACGGUCCAGACUCCUACGGGAGGCAGCAGUGGGGAAUAUUGCACAAUGGGCGCAAGCCUGAUGCAGCCAUGCCGCGUGUAUGAAGAAGGCCUUCGGGUUGUAAAGUACUUUCAGCGGGGAGGAAGGGAGUAAAGUUAAUACCUUUGCUCAUUGACGUUACCCGCAGAAGAAGCACCGGCUAACUCCGUG
Molecule: ribosomal RNA, 490 nt
Filed under: uncultured bacterium
Lineage: Bacteria
Description: partial 16S ribosomal RNA
Rfam family: Bacterial small subunit ribosomal RNA
Source: RNAcentral